This is a long non-coding RNA of Melanotaenia boesemani (Boeseman's rainbowfish), 84 nucleotides long. RefSeq lists it as uncharacterized. The record is from RefSeq and is a predicted model, not a curated record. The transcript is spliced from 3 exons. Lineage: Eukaryota; Metazoa; Chordata; Actinopteri; Atheriniformes; Melanotaeniidae.
CUCUAGAGAAUUCAAAGGGAUUGGCUGGUUUCCCCGGAAGGACGUCGUCUGAUGGCCAAUCCUAGACGGGAGGUGGGAGGUCGA